Long non-coding RNA from Alexandromys fortis (reed vole), 1286 nucleotides. RefSeq lists it as uncharacterized. Lineage: Eukaryota; Metazoa; Chordata; Mammalia; Rodentia; Cricetidae. The transcript is spliced from 3 exons. The record is from RefSeq and is a predicted model, not a curated record.
GCAGCCACCAAGGCUGUGGAGGCAAGAGAUGGACAAAGCUUGGGAGUGCUUGGACCACAGUUGGCUGUGACUGUCAGGAGCCCCAUGAUCACCCAGUAGGUGGAAGUCACUCCUUACAGGAGACUACAGGGUGUGUGCAUAUGGGACUCUGACUGGGCCCCCACGAGCAGCCAUGAUGAGACAGAGGCUUUGAUCACAGUCACGAACAGGAAGUGCCAAUAAGAAGCCAAUCUGUCCGGCAGAAUUGCUGCAAUCCCCGGGGUUGUCUGGAGCUGCAGUCUGCCUUCCCCACCCUGAUUAGAAUGGACUGCUCAUCACUGUGUUGUUGACCCAGGAGGAGACCUCACAUGUGAAGUGACCAACAGGAAAGCUUAACGAUCUGGGGGCUCUGGACCUGCCUCCUGAUGGUGGUGGUGGCAAUCAUGACGAUGGUGAAGAUGGUGUCUCUGCUGUACACUUUCCCUAACACACGUGCUAUUUGAAGAUCACACUAACAUGCACAAAUAGCCUCGUAAAAUAUACACUGUGUAGAGAGUAUUUAUUAUUGCCAUCGUUAUUAUGAAUGCUGUACUCAACCACUAUGCUCCUGACGAAGCUCCAGUGAAAUGGCCUUUCACCAUAUGCUGUGUGUUCAUGAGCCCUUUCAUCUUCUAACUUCAAAACACCAAUGACAAGAUAAUGUCAUGCCAGCAAGGCAUGGCUUAUUGAGGAGACAACGAGAGGCAAGCCUUGGUGCAGAAAGCAGAUUUACUUGCUUAGCAUAUAUAUGCAUAACUAUGUCUGGGGGUUUCUCUCAGUCCCAGGUGAGUCCAGCUGGACAGCCUUCCAGAGACUGAACUCCCCCUAUGUUGAGCAUGUUUUGGGGGAGGAUUAAACCUCCAGAUUAGUCCCCCCCCACCCCCUGCCGUUUACUCUACAGAGGGACUAGAGGAAACAGAGAUUUCUCCAAUUGAAACACUAGACCCAACUGUAGUACAGCACUUCCUUUCCCGGCACAGUGUUCUCAAAGUGUAGCUUCAUCCGAGCCCUCUGGCAACCUGCAACACUAGAUGCCUCAAGCCCCUCCCUCGGAGUUUCUGACUUAGAAAAUCUUUUGGGGGUCCAUAGACUGAUCAUGCUACUGACAGGUCAUCAGGCUACACACUCAGGAUCCCUCUGGCUUGGGCAGUCUACGCAGGAGUGCCCCUAAGUUCUGCCCUCUAAAAUGACCCAUAAACACACCGCAGAAACAGGCAGUCUUAUGAUCUGGAGCUCAUGAAACUUAAACUAGAUGACAUUUAAAAGGG